RNAcentral lists this long non-coding RNA (342 nucleotides) under Homo sapiens (human). RNAcentral describes it as "non-protein coding LRRC75A-AS1:37". The record is from RNAcentral. Lineage: Eukaryota; Metazoa; Chordata; Mammalia; Primates; Hominidae.
GGAUUGGGAUAUUCCGACUCCUUAAGGGCCUGGCGCACAUAAGGUGUGACCUUUUCAUUCCCGUUGUUAUGGAGGGCCACAUCUGCCAGAGCCUGGAGUCUGCGAAGGCCGGGACCCGGUUCCCCGGCCCACAGUGGGGGUGUGCAAACCCGAGAGAACUGGAUUGCGUACCCACUGCAGAGUGCUGAAGACGGGGUAGCCACGAGGUUUUGAGAACAGAGUGCUGUUUUAGAGCUGGCAGCAGCAUCUCAGCCCAAGAGAAGGUAAGCCUUGAGCUGGCCAAUGAUCCCUUCAACCCCAUAGUGGAAUGAAUAAACAGCUGAUCUUGUUAAAACUCGCUUC